RNAcentral lists this ribosomal RNA (308 nucleotides) under uncultured fungus. RNAcentral's name for it is "LSU rRNA". It matches the Rfam family "Eukaryotic large subunit ribosomal RNA", at positions 342 to 667 of the family's 3401-position model. Lineage: Eukaryota; Fungi. The record is from RNAcentral.
GCACAAGUAGAGUGAUCGAAAGAUGAAAAGCACUUUGGAAAGAGAGUUAAACAGUACGUGAAAUUGUUGAAAGGGAAGCGCUUGCAACCAGACUUGCACGCAGUUGAUCAUCCGGUGUUCUCACCGGGGCACUCUGCUGCGUUCAGGCCAGCAUCGGUUCUGGUGGUUGGAUAAAGACCUUGGGAAUGUGGCUUCUUUCGGGGAGUGUUAUAGCCCUCGGUGCAAUGCAGCCUACCGGGACCGAGGACCGCGCUUCGGCUAGGAUGCUGGCGUAAUGGUUGUAAGCGGCCCGUCUUGAAACACGGACC